ACUCCUACGGGAGGCAGCAGGCGCGCAAAUUACCCAAUCCUGACACGGGGAGGUAGUGACAAUAAAUAACAAUACCGGGCGCGUUAGUGUCUGGUAAUUGGAAUGAGUACAAUCUAAAUCCCUUUAACGAGGAUCCAAUUGGAGGGCAAGUCUGGUGCCAGCAGCCGCGGUAAU
Molecule: ribosomal RNA, 174 nt
Filed under: uncultured bacterium
Lineage: Bacteria
Description: partial 16S ribosomal RNA
Rfam family: Eukaryotic small subunit ribosomal RNA
Source: RNAcentral